RNAcentral lists this ribosomal RNA (301 nucleotides) under uncultured bacterium. RNAcentral's name for it is "partial 16S ribosomal RNA". It matches the Rfam family "Bacterial small subunit ribosomal RNA", at positions 509 to 809 of the family's 1533-position model. The record is from RNAcentral.
CAGUAGCCGCGGUAAUACGAAGGGGGCUAGCGUUGUUCGGAAUUACUGGGCGUAAAGCGCACGUAGGCGGGUAUUUAAGUCAGGGGUGAAAUCCCAGAGCUCAACUCUGGAACUGCCUUUGAUACUGGGUAUCUUGAGUAUGGAAGAGGUGAGUGGAAUUCCGAGUGUAGAGGUGAAAUUCGUAGAUAUUCGGAGGAACACCAGUGGCGAAGGCGGCUCACUGGUCCAUUACUGACGCUGAGGUGCGAAAGCGUGGGGAGCAAACAGGAUUAGAUACCCCAGUAGUCCCUGUCUCUUAUAA